GGUUAAGCGACUAAGCGUACACGGUGGAUGCCCUGGCAGUCAGAGGCGAUGAAGGACGUGCUAAUCUGCGAUAAGCGUCGGUAAGGUGAUAUGAACCGUUAUAACCGGCGAUUUCCGAAUGGGGAAACCCAGUGUGUUUCGUCACACUAUCAUUAACUGAAUCCAUAGGUUAAUGAGGCGAACCGGGGGAACUGAAACAUCUAAGUACCCCGAGGAAAAGAAAUCAACCGAGAUUCCCCCAGUAGCGGCGAGCGAACGGGGAGCAGCCCAGAGCCUGAAUCAGUGUGUGUGUUAGUGGAAGCGUCUGGAAAGGCGCGCGAUACAGGGUGACAGCCCCGUACACAAAAAUGCACAUGCUGUGAGCUCGAUGAGUAGGGCGGGACACGUGGUAUCCUGUCUGAAUAUGGGGGGACCAUCCUCCAAGGCUAAAUACUCCUGACUGACCGAUAGUGAACCAGUAC
This 461-nucleotide ribosomal RNA is filed under the name Escherichia coli. Its description in RNAcentral is "partial 23S ribosomal RNA". It matches the Rfam family "Bacterial large subunit ribosomal RNA", at positions 1 to 501 of the family's 2925-position model. Lineage: Bacteria; Pseudomonadati; Pseudomonadota; Gammaproteobacteria; Enterobacterales; Enterobacteriaceae. The record is from RNAcentral.